Non-coding RNA from Schistosoma curassoni, 45 nucleotides. The record is from Rfam. NCBI's taxonomy places the organism in Eukaryota, Metazoa, Platyhelminthes, Trematoda, Strigeidida, Schistosomatidae.
AUCCAGCUGACGAGUCCCAAAUAAGAUGAAACGUGCGUUCUAUAA